ACUCCCCCUCCUAACCCCUCCCUUACCCCAUAGGUCAAGAUCUCGGUCACCCUCGGAGUCUCGUCACUGGAAACUUCCCGAGGAGCUGCGUCGGCGCCUCACACUCCACCUCCAAGCUGACCCAGGACUGUCCCGAGCUGAGCUGCACGACAUAACCUAUGCUAGGAUCGAACCCGCCCGCAACCUCAAGAUCAACAAUUCCAUCGAUUGCAAGGCCAGUCCUCCCAUUGAUGGUGAGAGCCCCUGCCCCCUCUCCCUGGGCCCCCACACCAGUGCCACGCUGCCCAGGCCCCCUAAGACCUGGCGGCCGUCAAGUUUUCCCUCCUGAGCUGCCGGUGUUGGUGGUGCCCAGGCUGGAACACUCCCCGCCCAGGGCUACGCCAACCUGAGGAGGCACAGCAAGACUUCUCCUGGCUUAUAAGAGGGACCAUUAAGAAACAUGAUCCCCGCUGCUGCCACCACCACCGGGUUAACAUGUGCCGGCGACGAUCUGUUCACACGUCACUUGCCGCAGCGUUGAGGCGGGAUGCAGCGUGCUCUGAGGCGACCCCGGGCAGGAGGCAAGAUGUGACCUCCUGCACCAAACCUUUGACCUCUAUUCAGGAGCAAUCUCACAACUGAUGGAAGCUGGGACGGAAAGUUGCUGAAAUGUGGUAAGCUACAAUUUCCUCUUUCAACCAUGAUUUCUAUCAGUCUACCACAAUCUACCAGGGUCUAACCACCACACAAUCAUUCGCCCAACAUCCCUCUACCAGUCUACCACAAUUCAACCAUCAGUCAUCAACCGAAAAACUCGACUUGUUCAAAACUUUUUCAACUCUGUAACCCCAAAAUGUCAACCCAAGACCUGACAUUCAACCACGAUUUCUACCACUCCACCACAAUCUACUGGGACCUAACCACCAUAUAUCUUUUCAGGGCAAUGGCUGACUGGAUGGUGCUGUCUGGUCACUCAGCUCAGCAAGGGACUGGAAGCUGGAACACUCUCUCUCUCUCUCUCUCUCAAAAAAAUAAUGACUCGUCUCAUCUGGUCUGCCCCAGCAUUUAGGCAGCAUCUUGAAGGCCUGACUGGUCUCCUCAGCUCAGUGGUCUCGUCUCUGUCUCCUGCCCUGCAAGAGUCUGGCAGAGUUUAGUGCCAAGAGUGUGUGUGUGUGUGUGUGUGUGUGUGUGUGUGUGUGUGUGUGUCUCUCUCUCUCUCUCUCUCUCUCUCUCUCUCUCUCUCUCUCUCUCUCUCUCUCUCUCUCUCUCAGCUCCCAGGCCCCACAGGGUGUCCCCCCUACAGUGUGUUGACAACCCCCACAGACACAUGCCCCCCCAGACACAUAAGGGAUCCCCCCCCUCUCUCUCUCUCUCCAAGAAGUGUCAGUUUGCUCAAUAAAUAUACAAGCAAUUUCUGGUGUUUUUUCGUCCAUUCUGCAAAGUUUUCAAAGAGACAGAUCUUGAAAUAAGUGGAGAUAACAAGGAAAUGAAGAGGAAGGAGGAAAGGAGGAAGAGAGGAAGGAAAAGGGAGAGAAAUGGAGUUGAACUUGGAGGAGGAAGUGAACAAAACCACUAAAGUUACACUGGAGAAAUACACAGACCUUAAUAAAAGUGGAGAUAGAAGAGGAAUGAAAAGGAGGAGGAGGAAAAGGAAGACAGGAGGAGGAAGAGGAAAGGUUAAGCUAUUUUUUUGUAUAGGAGGAAAGGAGGAAGAGGUGGAGGAAAGAGGAGAAAAAUGGACUUGAACUUGGAGGAGAAAAUUAACAAAA
Eriocheir sinensis (Chinese mitten crab) is the source of this 1748-nucleotide long non-coding RNA. RefSeq lists it as uncharacterized. The record is from RefSeq and is a predicted model, not a curated record. The transcript has 7 exons. NCBI's taxonomy places the organism in Eukaryota, Metazoa, Arthropoda, Malacostraca, Decapoda, Varunidae.